Molecule: non-coding RNA, 154 nt
Filed under: Streptomyces subrutilus
Lineage: Bacteria; Bacillati; Actinomycetota; Actinomycetes; Kitasatosporales; Streptomycetaceae
Description: Streptomyces sRNA scr5239
Rfam family: Streptomyces sRNA scr5239
About the family: It inhibits agarase DagA expression by direct base pairing to the dagA coding region, and it represses translation of methionine synthase metE (SCO0985) at the 5' end of its open reading frame.
Source: Rfam by way of RNAcentral
CUUCCGCCCUCCCCGCACAGGAGGACGGAUCGAGGUAAGCCGCGCGCUCUGCCCUGACCGCGCAGGCACCUCCCACGGCCGCGGGAACCGCACACCCUCGGCCGUAAGUACUCCGGGCUACGGUGCCGGACGGGUUGAGGGUCCCGUCGGGCAC